UGGGGUGUAGCUCAAUGGUAGAGCGCUGGCCUUGCAUGUGCGAGAUCCUGGGUUCAAUCCUCAACACCACAU
This 72-nucleotide transfer RNA is filed under the name Ictidomys tridecemlineatus (thirteen-lined ground squirrel). RNAcentral's name for it is "Spermophilus tridecemlineatus (thirteen-lined ground squirrel) tRNA". It matches the Rfam family "tRNA". Rfam says of the family: Transfer RNA (tRNA) molecules are approximately 80 nucleotides in length. Lineage: Eukaryota; Metazoa; Chordata; Mammalia; Rodentia; Sciuridae. The record is from Rfam by way of RNAcentral.